AUUGAACGCUGGCGGCAGGCCUAACACAUGCAAGUCGAACGGUAACAGGAAGCAGCUUGCUGCUUCGCUGACGAGUGGCGGACGGGUGAGUAAUGUCUGGGAAGCUGCCUGAUGGAGGGGGAUAACUACUGGAAACGGUAGCUAAUACCGCAUAAUGUCGCAAGACCAAAGAGGGGGACCUUCGGGCCUCUUGCCAUCGGAUGUGCCCAGAUGGGAUUAGCUUGUUGGUGGGGUAACGGCUCACCAAGGCGACGAUCCCUAGCUGGUCUGAGAGGAUGACCAGCCACACUGGAACUGAGACACGGUCCAGACUCCUACGGGAGGCAGCAGUGGGGAAUAUUGCACAAUGGGCGCAAGCCUGAUGCAGCCAUGCCGCGUGGAUGAAGAAGGCCUUCGGGUUGUAAAGUACUUUCAGCGGGGAGGAAGGGAGUAAAGUUAAUACCUUUGCUCAUUGACGCUACCCGCAGAAGAAGCACCGGCUAACUCCGUA
Molecule: ribosomal RNA, 490 nt
Filed under: uncultured bacterium
Lineage: Bacteria
Description: partial 16S ribosomal RNA
Rfam family: Bacterial small subunit ribosomal RNA
Source: RNAcentral